AUGAGGGCAGGUGUGUGGUGAGCGGUGAGCGGUGGUGACAAGGCUGA
Molecule: small nucleolar RNA, 47 nt
Filed under: Pyrobaculum oguniense TE7
Lineage: Archaea; Thermoproteati; Thermoproteota; Thermoprotei; Thermoproteales; Thermoproteaceae
Description: POGsR111
Source: RNAcentral